CGGCACUGGGGGCUGGCGCAUAGCGAAGGCAUAGAGUCGGCGUGAGUCCUCUUAUUUUUUUAUUUUCUUAAUUUGUGAUCAGAAAGAAUUCAUCACAAUUCAUUCAUUCAUUCAGAAGCCUCCUCCUCCUCCUCCUCAAAUCUCACUCUCACUUGCACUUGCCUUUCUCCCAUCAUCCUUCUCUUUCGGUUGCAAACAUGAGUGACCCAAAAUAUGGUUAUCCCUACCCUGCUCAAGGUUACUAUCAAGGCCCUCCUGUAAUGGCACCUCCCCAGUAUGCUGCUCCCCCUCCCAGAAGAGAACCUGGUUUCCUUGAAGGAUGUCUGGCGGCUUUGUGUUGCUGUUGCCUCAUAGAUGAGUGCUGCUGUGAUCCUUCCUUUAUCUUCAUCAGCUGAGGCUGAGAUGCUUCGCUUGUGACUGUGGCCUUCAUUCAAUAAUAUUUCCCUUUGUUCCUUUUAUAUUUAUGUGUGUGUCUAAGAACUAGUUAAGAUUCUAGGACUAGUGUUCCUGUGAGAUUGUGUUAAUUGCAAGGAUGUGCAUCUGAGACUUCUUUACCAUCUAAUUGACCUUUGGUUUGUUUCUUAA
This is a long non-coding RNA of Diospyros lotus (date-plum), 585 nucleotides long. RefSeq lists it as uncharacterized. The transcript is spliced from 3 exons. The record is from RefSeq and is a predicted model, not a curated record. NCBI's taxonomy places the organism in Eukaryota, Viridiplantae, Streptophyta, Magnoliopsida, Ericales, Ebenaceae.